GAUGAACGCUGGCGGCGUGCCUAAUACAUGCAAGUCGAGCGAACAGACGAGGAGCUUGCUCCUCUGACGUUAGCGGCGGACGGGUGAGUAACACGUGGAUAACCUACCUAUAAGACUGGGAUAACUUCGGGAAACCGGAGCUAAUACCGGAUAAUAUAUUGAACCGCAUGGUUCAAUAGUGAAAGACGGUUUUGCUGUCACUUAUAGAUGGAUCCGCGCCGCAUUAGCUAGUUGGUAAGGUAACGGCUUACCAAGGCAACGAUGCGUAGCCGACCUGAGAGGGUGAUCGGCCACACUGGAACUGAGACACGGUCCAGACUCCUACGGGAGGCAGCAGUAGGGAAUCUUGCGAAAUGGGCGAAAGCCUGACGGAGCAACGCCGCGUGAGUGAUGAAGGUCUUCGGAUCGUAAACUCUGUUAUUAGGGAAGAACAAAUGUGUAAGUAACUAUGCACGUCUUGACGGUACCUAAUCAAAAAGCCACGGCUAACUACGUG
RNAcentral lists this ribosomal RNA (496 nucleotides) under uncultured bacterium. Its description in RNAcentral is "partial 16S ribosomal RNA". It matches the Rfam family "Bacterial small subunit ribosomal RNA", at positions 28 to 507 of the family's 1533-position model. The record is from RNAcentral.